GUGGGGAAUAUUGGACAAUGGGCGCAAGCCUGAUCCAGCCAUGCCGCGUGUGUGAAGAAGGCCUUCGGGUUGUAAAGCACUUUUGUCCGGAAAGAAAAGCAUUCGGUUAAUAACCGGGUGUCCUGACGGUACCGGAAGAAUAAGCACCGGCUAACUUCGUGCCAGCAGCCGCGGUAAUACGAAGGGUGCAAGCGUUACUCGGAAUUACUGGGCGUAAAGCGUGCGUAGGUGGUUCGUUAAGUCUGAUGUGAAAGCCCUGGGCUCAACCUGGGAAUGGCAUUGGAUACUGGCGACCUAGAGUGCGGUAGAGGGGUGUGGAAUUCCCGGUGUAGCAGUGAAAUGCGUAGAUAUCGGGAGGAACAUCUGUGGCGAAGGCGACACCCUGGACCAGCACUGACACUGAGGCACGAAAGCGUGGGGAGCAAACAGGAUUAGAUACCCUGGUAGUCC
RNAcentral lists this ribosomal RNA (450 nucleotides) under uncultured bacterium. RNAcentral describes it as "bacterial SSU rRNA". It matches the Rfam family "Bacterial small subunit ribosomal RNA", at positions 354 to 796 of the family's 1533-position model. The record is from RNAcentral.